GUGAAUGAUGAAAAUUUUAACUCAAGGUGUUGAAAAUGUUAACUUAAGAAAAUGUUAAAAUAGCCGAAUAUAUCUUGACAGAUCGUGCUUUGCAUACAGGUAGCAUUACAGAGGUGUCUGCCUAUGAGAGUUGAAGUGAGUUAUCCUCCACGUAAGUCACUCUAGAUUCAUGUUUAGACAUGGGCAAAGAGAAGUAAGAACAAGAGAAUGUCUUCACACUGUUACCUCUCAUUUUCCUUCUGUCAGAUAUACACAUAUAUCUAUAUAUAACAGAUAUAGACAUAUCUGUUACUUGGGAACCUAAGGCAUAUCUUAUAGCUAGAUUAACAUCUAGGAACACGAUGCAUAGAACUUGCCUUUGUUUUUGUUUUGUUUGUUUUAUUUCUAGUGAAGGGAAGUUAUCAGCUGCCGUGCCUGCAGUGUGCUCUCUUCCAUUAAUUUUUCCUGUCUCCUCUUCUGCAGACAUAUCCUUGGAAGGCAUCAAUUUUAUUGGCAGGCACAUAACAUGGAAAUUAUUGCUCUUUCAUUGAAGAAGUAGAAAUGUUUGUUUCACAAGUUCUUUAAAUUCUCUCCUGUAACACUAUAUUGUAGCUGUGAUAUCUACAGUUAAAUAUGUCUCAGCAUUUCAAAUGGGGGAAAGCUAGCAGCUGAAAAAACAAGAGGCUUUGCCUGCACAAGAUCGCACACCCUGUUCUAGAAUCAUGAAAAAUGAACUCCUGGAAUGUUAAUAGGCAUAGCAGCUAAUUUCACAAAGUGUGACUCUACAAUAGAGUUCUAAGUCUGCAUAGUGGAAACCCUGAAAAAGGUUUAGUCUUAACAUAUUACUUGGAAACUCUUCAAAAUUGGAAAACACUGCUGUGUAGUGAGCCUCACUUGUUUACGUUGUCCUUGAGAAACGUGUUGGUUCCAGUGCCACUAAGUUUGCAGUAUGAGGUAGUAUGCAAAAUGAUGUAGUGGAUACAAGUCCAGUUAGGUUUACAUUAGGAUUCACGUUGCAGGAACCGUAUCUGGAGCUCAAAGAAGGAGCCUUCCGGGAUGAUCUAUCUUGUUCAAAACAAAGCCUGGUUGCUGCUGAUUUAGCCUUACCUACCCCAUUCCUUUCUCCCUCUACCCCACUCUCCACCAUAUCAUUCUGUGACACAUGAAAUGGAGCAGAAGGUAAUAGCAGUAUAAAUAUUGAUAGUGUGUUAGGAUUCUUUUUCACAUCUCUACGUUAUUGGUUUGUUUGUUUGUGUCUGCCCCCCGUGAUUUAUCCCAUGUUUGUUCCAUUGCACUAUUUUAAGCUCUUAACUGUCCAUUUUAUGUAAAUGCAACUCUCUGGAACUGCUCAGGCUCAGGCAGUGCAAGAUACUGAGAGCUGAUGUUAGGCAAGUAAUGUAAACAGUUGACCAACUGUGGCUGCAGACAUGACUCCGAUACUAAAGCGUGAGUGGCUUUGAAGCAAUCUGUCACUUAAAGGUGUGUCGUGGCUUAAUUCUAUUUACCACACCUUCCUUCAGCCUGGCCGUCUUCAGAACCGUUUCCGAUAGUUGGCUGUCAUUGAUAUUCCAUUACUGGUGUGCAGUGUGUGUGUGUGUGUGCUAAAAGUGUGUCUGGGAAACAGAUAUAACGUAGGCGUGAUUGCAGUUGAGCCUGGGAUUCCUUCUUUUGUCCUUUGUUAUGCUGUGAUAUGCACUCGGAAUGUUGUACAUAUUGAAAGAAAGCGUGCAAACCUUCAUCCAUUUUAGGUUCACUGAGCUUUCUAAUCCACUGGCAUGGGGAUCUAUUCCACUCUACUAGCUUUGUUAGCUUUUUAAUGAGCAAAUCUGGUCAUUAGCAGAAGAUUUUAAGCCUGUGGACAUAACAAAUUUGAAGAUUUUAAAAAAUUUCUCAUUGGAAAUACUGAGUGCUAGCUCUGUUUCUUUGCACUGGUGGUUCUUGUUAUGUAUGUUUUUUUGUUUUUGUUUUCAUGGAUAUAAAUACCUAUAGAUACCUGUCACAAGACUUACUUUAGAAACUUGCACUUGACAAGCUCUGCCAGAACAAAAUAAUAUAUUUCUACAGUUUGCAUGUGUAAUAGGUUCUUUUUAGGAUCAGUUGAAUAUAUUGGUAGGAUUUAAAGAUGUGCUGAAUCUAAUCUUCCAGGAGUUGAGGAAGUAUUCAUUAGAAUGCAUUGUCUCCUGCUGAGUUUGACCUUCACUACCCUGCUGGAGUGCACUGCAAUUUUUCAGCUGCCUUCAUUUUACUUUUCCUCCUUGGGUGAUAAUAAAAGUAAAGCAGUUUGCAUGUCCAUCCUUAGUCCUCUGCAGUCUUGAUGCUUCCCUGCUAUUCAGGCUCCUGCUGAGGUCAGUGUCCCUGUGACUCUGUCUUCAAAUCUCCAGUCUCUUUGUCUUGGUUUCUGGUUUUGACAAGCAGAUAAUGAAGUGGUUUUGCCUUCUGUAUUGCCCUCACGCUUAGGAGCUUGUGCUGUGUAUUGGUUUGCAAGGCAAUUCUACUCUGAUUUUCAGAACUUACAAGGUUGACAGUUACUGUAUCCCGUGCUUCUGCAGAAGACUCCCUUUUAAUCGUCUUUACUAUGAGAAACUGUAUUUGAUCCCAUGGAGGAGUUCUUAAGAUUAGCACUGGAAAAGCAGCGGUUUUUGAACUACCAGUGAAAUGCAAUUGCUGGCACUGGCCUGAUCAACACCCAGUAACCUAUAUUAGGGUUGGGAAAUGGGGCAGAGGGGGAUCUUACUUCAUAUUUUCCAACUCUUAGUAGAAGGACAUGGUACCUGUAGGGUCUGCUGGCUAUUGCAUUGCAGUACUGGGAAAUGUGACUUAAGACAUGCUUCCCACAGUAACACAAGAGAGGGCAUUGGUUAAUUAAUAUAUCCCACACUGAAAAAGACCACUUUAUUUGCAUGUAACUGCAGUGCUAUGCACUAUGAACCUUAAAGUUUCCGUGGAUUCCGAGAGAAUUACUAUUGGCAGAAGACAAUGUGAACAAGUUUGGAUUUUCAGAACAAUUGCACAGAUACCUCCUCCUCCCCCUUAACUCCUUCAUAUGUUGUGAAGUUUUCCUAGUAUUAGUUCAAACUGACAAAUUAUUGUGCAACACUACUGAUAUGCUUGCGUUUGAUGGUGACUGGAGGAAGUGAUUGUUGGUACCGUUUAUCUUGUGUACAGUUAAGUCUUCAAAAGCUUCACAUUACAGUUAUGCCUCCCAGUAACUGGUUUCUUUCAGCUCCUCACCAAAUAUUUUGGAAGACUGCUGUGUUCACCCUGACGUUUGCAGUAUGGGAUCUCUCACCUGAGUUCACAGGUCACGCUUCAAAAUUUGAUACUGCUUUAUUGCAGUGAUUAUUAUACGUUUUGUGAAGUGAACUGAGCAUUCCUGAGCUUUGCUGAGUCUUUCCAGGUCUGAGAUUGGGCCUAGGCUCAACACGUCUUUCUGUCAGAUAAAGGCAACCGUUGGUCUGCUGGGUGACUGCUGGGUCACUGCUGUUCUGCUCAUGAACCUGUGAAAGUGUUGACCAUCACUGAUUGAUAGAUGAGGCUCUGAAACAGCUAUAAUUAAGAUACUGUUCACACUGCCAUAAUUUCAAGAGAAGGCAUUUUUAUUAACCAAGAUUAUUUAUUAACUACAGCAAUCACAGCUAUGUUUCGAUUAGUCAAAGGAGGACUUGACAGAACAUGGAUGUUAAUAUUAAACAUCCAAUGUGCUAAUUUGUAAACCUGUCAUAUUUGCCAUGGUGGCAGUAAAUGGUGUUAAAUUGCUUUUUCAAUAGACUAAUUAGUGAUGACCUUUUGGGUUGACAUAUCUGUUACACUUUUUACAAUAUUUCUAGAUUUAUAUUUUUUUCAGUAAAUCAAAUGUUAGCAUUUAAAUUAGGCUCAUCAGAAAGAAUUGAGAUUUUAUUAAACACAAAUUAGGAAAAUUAUUUAAUUGCUCUGAGUUAUUAAAUUUGGUGCCUUAAUGCAGCUCGGUUCAGUUCUCAAACCAAAUCCGUUCCUUUAACUAUUAAAGGAGAAUCAGUUGAGAGGCUCUGGCAGCUUUGAAUUGCUUCUAAAUUUUCUGUCAUGAUAUUAAAAUAAAAUUCUUUCCAAUGCUGCUAUUGCUUCAUCCUCCUCCAACAAAGAAGAUAUGUUUGGCAGCGAGUUCAGAAUUAGCUGUGUGAAUCAACAGAUUAAAACUUAGCUAAUGAUCAUGUAAGCAAAGAAUUUAGCUGAAGACUGGGCCCUUUUUUUGGUUACUUCAAUGACAUACCUUCCAUGCCAAUGUAUGGUUCCUGAGAUAAGACUUUGACGAAGAAAACUUAACUUAGAGUUUCUCGUCCAAGGAGCUACUAUAAUACUUGUGAUUAAAAAGCAGGGUUAAUUUCAGCUGGCAUUGACUAAUAUAUUUUACUGAAAAAUUGUUAUCAUGCAGACUCAGGCAAUAAGGUUGAGAAACAUGAGAAAAGAUGCUAAAGUAUGUCAGUGCAUCAAAGUGAGGCCACUUCUGUAACACAGUUGGGUUUGCUAGCAGUAUAUUAAAUCUAUUAGCACAAUUAACAGUGGUAACGGGUGCGUUGACUGUGAAGGCUUAGUACAGGUUUGUACUUUAUGUAUACAGGACCCACACUGCUAGCUGUGGAGUGUGUACUGCUGUCUGACAGGUAGCUUUUACCUAUGUUGGUACCGCAUCAGUAUGCCUACUGCGCUGUGCCCAUUACUGUGUUCUGUUGGGUGGGUGGAAGGGAAACUUGCAGUUUAAAACAAGAUAUUGUUUCAUGUCAUCUCUAGUAAAAAGUUCUCCAGUUGUGAGCUCUCAGUCAUGAAUUAAGCUGUGACCAAGAGGUGAUGGUACAACGCUCUCCUUUAUGCAGCAGACCCUGUUUCCGUGUUUCCCAGUCCUAACAUGGAUGAAGCAGUCCCAGUUCUCUGGCUGUCCCGUGAGCAUGGGGAAGUUACAAUUUAUGCUGAAGGCAGUGAGUAGUGCAUCAGCAGCCUCAAGUGAACAUGCACAAUAUCAGUUCCAUGUAUUGGUGCAGUGCUUCAGGAAAACAGACAUGGGGAGUAGAGGGGAUAAACCACAUACUUCAUUUCUCUGCCAACGUAAGAUGGUUCUCUCACAUUGUAUUGACUCUGGAUUCUGUUGUGAGGAACAGAGGCUGCGAUACUUUCCCUGAGAACACAGCAGGUGUGUCAAGAAGCUUUGGUUGCUAUCCGUUUUCAUUUCUCCCUUCUAGUUAUAUCUUUGGGCCAGCCUAGUUUUUCUUACUGUUGCUUAUAGGCUUCGUGAGUGUUUUCCCACCUUGCCUUUAGUCAAAGUUGUACAUAUUCAUCUUCCUUUCUAAAGGAAUUUCUCCAAUCUCCUUGCAAAUUGAAAGAAAUUAAGAGAAGGUUUUGUCUACAUUUAUUUAGGUAUGAUUGGAAGAUGAGAGAAAGGGAGAGGAGUCUCACAUUCACUUUCAGUGACUCAUGUUUGACAAGGAAAUUUCAUCAGGUUUAACUUGAACUCUACUUCUUCUGCUCGAAAGGCUAGCCUUAAGCUCAGUGUAAAAGGUGACUCUUAAUUUCCAAAAGGCUCUACAGAGACCUGGUAACACACAGAGAUGGGAUACAGAACAAAAGCAACCGUUGUUUUAGCUGUGCAUUUAGUGCAAAUAGUGCGUAAAAUUUUAACUCCUGACUUGUUCUCUCCAAGGAGCCAUAAUGGUGUGAAGAGCAUGGAGACAUGUUUUUGCAGAUUGCUUUUUCAUUCAUAAAGUGUUAUUUCACUUCCUUGUACUGAUUGUCUAGUUUCUCUGGGAUGCUUAUCCAUGAGUGUGCAUGCUCAGGCCUGAGUAUAUACGUGUGCACAUAGGCAUAACCCAUACCAAACCGUAUAUUUCCUGUUCAAAGCUAGUUCAACAUGGGAAGAAUUUUCUCUUCCACUCUACUGUUAUGAACAUGUGUGUAUAUAUAUGCAUACACAGACUCAUAGGAGAAAGUAUUGUGUUAUCCCAAUGGUAACAAGGAACUGAAGUAAAUGGUAAGAUGCUUGUCUGUGACAGAUGCACGUCUUCCUUGUCUUUGUACAGCUCCAUGCCUGUAGUACAUUAUAGCUCAGCAUGGCCAGCAACUCAAAUUUUAUCUUUGUAGAAGGUAUGCUGCCCUGUUUCUAUCAUUUCCUUUGCUAAAACCACAAUUCACAUGAACAAAAUGUUUGUGAUAUAUUCAUGGCUUUUUUCAACUUGCCUUUUCUCAGUGAUAUAGAAUACUAGAUAAAUGGUUCUGUUUGAUUCAAAAUGCAAGAAAUAAGUCUUCCCUUAAGCAGCUGAACUAAGGAGCUACUGGGAUGAAUUUAAUCCUUUGCAAGAAAUGCGUGGUAUUACCAGUGGAAGAUUCCUGUUCAUUUCCUACAUCUCUUGCUUGAUUGAAUAUCCAGUAAAUGAUGGAUUUUAGGCUUCUCAGCUUGAAGUAGGUUCAUGAGCAAGAAUCUGAGCAAGACCUCUGCUGUUGUUUAUUGUUGCUUUGAUGCUCUUUUAAGGUAUGUGUUUCACAAAGUUGCCUUGAUGAUGUACAUUUAUAUUCCUGACACCUCCUCAAAUGAAAGCAUGCACAAAGUAGAACUGCAAUAUGAUUACAGGAUAAUGUGCCUUCUUUGGGAAUCAGAAUGAAGUGAUACAAAACUGGCUCUUGGUCAAACCUGAUUUUUCACUGUGUAGGCUCCUUGUGAUCCAGUGGGCUCAUCAGUCACUGGGGUCUGCCCUCCCGAUAUCCCCCACCUUGCUGGGGGAUCCCAAGCUGGAUGUGGCUCUGGGCAGCCUGGUCUGCUGGUUGGUGACCCUGCACAUAGCAGGUUGGGUUGAAACUCGAUGAUCAUUGUGGUCCUUUUCAACCCAGGCCGUUCUGUGAUUCUAUGAUUCUGUUGGUUCUGAGUUCCCUGCAGCAGGCAAGGCAGAUCUGCACUCUACAGCUGAAUCCUUGGUGGGAGAUAUUUAGCUGGUGAUUUUUCUGAGGACCUUCAUUGUCAGUUUGGGCUUAUCUACUUGCAAACACAUGUGCAGCAUCUGGUAAGAACCCUUAAAACAGAAAUGUGUGCAUCUGAAUAUGCAGAGGUAGUACUUGAAGCUUUAAUGGUAUGCUUGGCGUGUCCAUCUGUAUAUAUACACUGCAUGACUUUUUCUUUGCAAUAGAGAGGUUAGUUGCAAAAAUGGCUAUACUCAUCAAGCUGUUCAGUUGUGACAUUUGUAUGCAUGUGAAACAAUUAAUCACAGAGUGGCAUGUGGACCAUUGUAUUUAAGGGAGUUAAAGUUUGUUACCUGUGGUACUGUGCUACCAGAGUUGUUGAUUUGCUGCCAAUACACUGCUCUGUGAUACCUGUUCACAUUUCUGAGUUUAAGGAAACAGAGUGACAGUUCUGCUGCUGGAUCAAGGCUGUGCCUGAGCAACCGGAGUCUGAUGGCUCUCAAAAUAGACUGACACUGAUCAGAAAGCCAUUGUUCACCUUUCCAAUACCUGUUUUUUUUUGUUUUUUUUUUUUUUGUUUGUUUGUUUUUUGUUUUUAUAUAAGGAUAGUUUUUGCAGUGCAAGUUGUUGAUAACUCAUUUGAACUUACUAUUCUGAAGUGUCCAGAAAGGAGAGACAACCAAAGCAGUUAAGCCUAAAAUUAGACAGCAAUCGUAAGCUCAAGUGUUUUGGAUCAGCCUAGGGAGAAGAUGGCUUGCUUGUCAUAUCAGUGGGCUUUGUCUCAGUUGACUAAAUCUUCAUUUAAAAGGAAUGAUUGGCAUACAUUAUUGUCUUCAGUUGCCAUGAGCUGACAGCUAGACAAUUAAAUGCAUUAGGAAUCUUUCCAAAUUUAGCUUGAAUAUAUGAAUUCAUUGUAAUUGAAGCUUAUUCACAUUAAAAUCCUCAAUGUUUUGUAAAUAAAAUUGGAUUUCAACCAGUCACGUUUCACUAACUGUUGUUUGAUUAUGUAACUUCUGUAAUAUGGUUUCCUUCUUGUUUGGAUUACUUGCAUUGUAUUAAGGCAUUAAUUUUACAGUGCUACAUACUCCAAUGGCUCCAGACAAGUUCUGUUCUCAGUAGUACUGUUCUACCAGUACUUGGUUACAGCAAAGAUUCCAUUCCCUUCCUCUCAAGCCUUGGUACACUCAUGAAGAGUAGAGUGAACUCUUUAAUGCUAAGAGUUUCCAAGUUGAUGAGCAUAAAAAGCCAAAAGGUUAAGUGGCUGUCCUAUAGGCAGGUAGCAGUGGGUAGCAAUUGCCAGUCCUGGGGCCUCUCUUUGCCAUCCCAUCAUUAUUUAGUGGCUGUGCUUUUAACGCUUGUAGAUUUGUAACGUAUGGAGAAGUAAAUGCUGUCAUAUCACAGUUCAGCUCUGAUUCUUAAUACAUUAUUUUUCUGCCUACAUAGGGCAAAUUCUUCAGGGACAGAAUGACCUGGAAAAAAAACCACACAACAACCAACACAGAAACAAAUGAAAAAACAACCCUAUCAGAAGACACUUCUAGUCUGUGAAGUGAGCUGGCAGUCCAGUUAGAUUUUCCAGCAGAGGACUGUAUUUCAAUUUCUUACUGUCAAAUUCAGCUAGAGACAAGAAAGGUAUAGAAGCAUCAGGUCUCAGCUGGAGGAGAUGGAUAUCAGCAAGACUACAGAGCACUGCCAUUGGCGAAGGUAUAGGUUUUUUCCCCCAUGGGGUGAACUUUUCAACUUGGUGCUUAUGAAGAACUCUAAAAUUUCACCUUAAUUCCCUUAAGCACGUCUGUUUAUGGCAACAAACUUGCACCUAUUACAUGUUGUAUGUAUUAUACUUGUAUAUGCUUGAAGUUGAUGGAGGAGGAAGUUUUAAAUGCAGACAAUUACGAGCAAUAGUUAUGAGAAAGGUCUGGAUUUAUUUGCUUUUUGUUUAAAGGCAGAAAACUCUACAGUGUUCUCAGCAAAACGCUCACUGAGGUCUCAGUUUUCCGGACAGAAGGAACUUAAACAUACUUUAACUCUUUUCUCUAACAGUUAAAACGGUGUUGCUCACAUCUUGCUCCCCCUGUUAGCGUAUUUAUCUGCAGUGUUGGGAAUUAGCUUUGUUAACAAAUAGACACAGGCUUCAAAAAGUCAGAUAUUCAUGCUUCUGUCUUGACAUUACUUUUCUCAGUGUGUAUGGUGGAAAUUCACUCAUUUAUAUGUGCAACUAAGUGCUGUCUACUGAAGUGCUUACAAAACUGCAGUUCAAUUUGAAGUGCUGGAAGUGAACGUUGCUGUUGUAUACGUCUGUCAGGCUUCCCCUCUGUCUCAACACUUCUUUGGAAAACUAGAGCUAAUGAGCUGCAAAUGCAGAAAUAAGAGUGUGCUUGUAAACUGUAUAAAUUCGAUUAUUCAUUAUGCUCAUAUGAGUUUGUUUAUAAGGAUGGGUGGCAGUAGUUUGUCAUGUUCCUAAGUAGGAAUGUGGAAUACUUUUAAUCCAUAUACAAGCCCAUAUAUUGCUUUAAGGAAAUAGGGGUGUUUUGGUUCUUUUCACUCUUGUCCCUGAGGAAAUAGUUGAGGUGAGCCUGCAAUAUAGAAAGUGGGAAAUACACAAAUGCUUCUUGACAUUAUAAAGAUGGAAAACACAUCAGCACCUUUUGUUUUUCAGGGAAUAUUUUGAUCUGUGGGCUAGAACAGAGGAAUCCUUAGUAAGCCGUGCGUAUGCUUGUUAAUGAUAAGCAGUGCCAGAGAAGGUGCUACUCUGAAAUAUGACACCAUUUCUUUAAUUUAAGACAGCAAUAAAAGGCACAUGGAGGAAGGCUAGAGUGUUUAAUUUGCUUGCAAGAUAUUUUUCUGAAUUAUGCUAGUUGUCUUUUUAUUGCUUCUGCAGGAUACUGCAAAAGCUCAUUUUCUGAGGUUUAGUUUAGGUCCCCAGCAGAAUUCAUUACUGAAUUUGUAAUUCAUUACUGAAUUUGUAGGAGAACUACAGUAGACACCCACAGUCAUGACCUGUGGUGCUGCCUUUCAGCCUUUGUACUCCAGCUAUGCUCUCUGCAGUGUGAGCAAACAUAAGCUUUUCACAUGGACUUCUGUGUACCUUGGUGCUGCAGUGGUGGUCUGAGGUGCACCUCUUCCUGAGGUGCUUACAGGAGCUGCUCCCACUGCCCACUUCUUCUGGCUGCCUUCAUGAAAGCAGCAUUGCUGCUGCUGGCACUGCUGCUCCUUGUUAAACUGGCAUGGGCGUAGGAUGGGGCAGAGGUGCUUUUAGGGUGUGGUGCACGAGAUGGGCUUCCUCAGGUUGGGAGCACCUCCCUUUUCCCUCUGUAAGGGGCUAGGCAGCCUACUUGAGCUGAAACUUAAUGUGUUUGAACAGCACAGAUUGUCAGGGGCUGAAUGGGUGCCCUCCUCAGCCGGUGACGUGGUGGGAAAGCCUGGGCUAACCUCAGGAUGUCACCUGGGCAGGGUGGGGCACCUCCUUCGUGGUUCUGGGAUGCAGCUGGAGGAGGAACAUGGCACAAACACCACCCAUGGCCUGCCCCAAAAGCAUGAUCUCCACAGACCCCCCGUCCCCCCCCUCUGGACAUCCCACCUGCCUCAGCUGGCUCAUUUUGUAGCUAAGUUUGCUCAGGCACUUCAUGUUUAUAUUUCUGGAGCACUGCAGAAAUGAUAGUGAAGUUAUUUUUGGUAGUUGAUCAAAUUACUGUCCCAUGCAGCCAUUAACGCAGUUGAUGUUUAAAGGAGUAUUAUUUGUGGUGGUUAGCCUUGGGGAUGCCUGACUGAAUGCCAUUGCAUUUGUAUUUCCUGAACGUUGGGUAUAAAUUGAGUGAUGGCAGAGAAUGUGCCAGGGAAUUCAAAGCUGGAAUCUGUGCUUCCUGUAUUGCAGAAGUUGGAGCGUUUCAGUAAACCUUAGUGAUGUUUUUCCCCACUGGGAGGUGGGAGGAAGGUGAUCUUCGUGCUUUUGAGCUGUUGAAACAUGGGUAAUUAUGGAUGAAGUGGAGAUGGGAAUGUUUCAGAUAAGGUUUGAAAAGACAUAAAAAGGGAACGCUCAGCAAAGGAGCAGCUCCACUUUUUGGAGAUCCUGCUUCUGGGGUAGGUUGUGUUAGUUUUUGGUGGUCUUUUGUUUUUCUUCCCUGUAAGACAUAGCUGUUCCUGCUGGAAAACCUGUUUCAUUUUGUUUUAAAUGAAAAUGAAAGUUGGAAGUUGAUGAAGGAAGAGAACAACAAGAACUGAAAACAAAUUGGUAAAUUCAUUUUGCUGUUGUGACAUCUGUUUAUGGUGUGAAUUGGACCUGCAGAGCCCAAUUAGCACAUUCCCAGCAGAGAGAGCUGUUUGAACAAUAGGAGGAAUGUCGUGUUAAAGUUAGCUAACUGUGUGUACACUGUGUCAAAGAAACAGGAGCAGGGGGCAAUCAUCAGCUUGUUCUUAAUGAAUCUGGUAGCACUCAGCCUUAUGCGGGGAGAUGAAAAGCAGAAGCUAAGGGCUGUCCUGGUUUUAAGGCUUCACAAGAAUUGACAAAUUGAACUUUGAUUCAACAGGAAGAAAAACGUGAUUUACAAAUCACCUUUGUUCUGAUCCUGUGUAUGGCAUAUGCAGAUUAAGAACAACUGACUACAAACAGAAUAAGAAAUAUAUUAAAGCUCAAAUAGGGUCUUUAAUUACUGAAGGAGUGAGGGUAUUGAUAUGCUUUCCAUAAGGACAGAACAAUUAUAAGUGAAGAGUUGAUGGGGAAAAUAAAAGGUGUCCGUUGUGGUGUUCACAACAGAAAUUGGAAUGGAUGUCCUGGAGAAUCCUCCUCCAGCACUUUCUCCCUUUUGGAUGUAAUAAGCUUGAGGACAAACAGAAGUUGAAGAGGUUUACCUGAAAAUCAACACACGUGUACAUUGCCAGGACCACCAGGCUGCAGUUGCUCUGCUUUACUAGAGAUCCAUUUUAAUGUAGUAAUGAAGUCUCUUGCUGCUUGGCACAUGGUAUGCAGAGAACACCAAGCUCUGUACAUUAAGUCAUGAUUGGUCUGAGCUGUGUGUUAAUUUCUUCAUACUAUUGUCAUUCCUCCUGCCUGUGCCCUGAACACAAUUAAGUGUGCUCAGAUCCUACUUUUAGGCCUUGCUGUUGGGCAGUUACUCAGUGAAUGGCUGGAACUCCCUGGGCUCUUGUUUUCCUUGUUCUGUGAUAGUGGGUUUUUGUUGUUUGUUUACAUGCUUAUUUAAAAUGCAGUUCUGCAGGCUAUUUAAAGCAUCUCUGUCUUAAUUAAGAAAGUAUAUGUCUGUUUCUUUAGGCAGUAAGAAUUGAUUGAAGUACACUGUUGGCUCUCUAGUACCAGGUACUAACCCAUACAAUUCCUGAAGGUUAUGGCAUAGUACACAGUAGUACUGUAGGUAAAUGAUAACCACACAAGCUGUACGCUGGCUUUUUUAGAAGGCAAGGCUAAAUUGUUUGUGUGACAAAUGCUGACACCAGCAGUGACAAAUUUUACUUGUGAAACGUUAGGGCGAUUGAUAACUAAUGAGGGAAGACUUGUGACAUUUGUUGCCCAGUCUGUCUGGUAACUUAAUCUGGACUGUAUCUUAUUAUGAUGAGAGACUGGGAAUUGAGUGAAAUGUUCUUUUGUAAUGAGGAUGUGAUUUGGGUGCAUUUGUUCUGACAGGGCUGGAGCGAUGUAAAUCACAGCAGAUGCAGUGCUGGUAGGCAAAGCAAUCUAAGCAUGGUAUUGUAAAAGCUGGGACUGUGACACACACCUCGGUCAAUUCAACAUCAAUUCAACAUCUCACAGACAGGCUGUGCUGCAGAACCAAGUGCAUCACAAAAUCCAGCUAAUAUUGCAUAAAGAACCUCCAUUACAUGUUCUGUUUUCUAAGUUUAACCUUAUCUGGAGGAACUUUGAAGCUCUAUUCCAUGGGUGUCCAAUCUGUGAUCUUGCUUGGUCCACACUGAGUGAACAGGAGCUGUCUUAGGCUGCAUACAAAAUGUGUAAUAUGGUUAACGUAAGGUUGUUACAAAACUUAUUUUUAAGGUAUCUUUUAUUAGAAUAUGAAAAACAAAGAGCAACAAAAACAUAAAACUAGUGGGAUAUUUGACCCUGUUUUUGCAAAACUAGUGUGUCAACAUCUGGUUCAAUGGAAAAGGUUGCAAUUCUUAGUGAGUUCUCAAGGUGCUUGCCAGAGAUUUUUGAUGAAAUAUUGCUCUUCCUGUGCUUCAUCCUUGACAAUAAUUGUUCACAAGUGUACAUACUGCUGAAAAGUGGCAACAUGAAUAAAGUGUGAUUGUGAAGCAAGGGUUUUUUUUUUUCAGUUAAGGCAGGUCUUAGGAAAGUCUAGUAGAGGUGAAUGUCAUCAAGAUAUCCAGUGUAAAUAAAUGGGUUAAAAACUGGACAGUUCUAGGCAUUAGUGACUUGAUUUCCCUACUGGUAGUGUAACUUGGACUUGCAGCACUGACUGUGUUCGUAAAUGACCUGGAAAAAGUGCUGAGUUUUGGGGGACACAGUUUGAGUUUUUCCAGACGCUGAUACUCUGUAAAGUGUUGCAGAAAAUGCCAUGAAUGAAAAGCGUGAUGCCAGAUGAAACGUCGUGUUGAUAGACGCAAAUAAAUGCACAUCAAAGGGAAAAGUCGGCAUAGAAUUCAUAGAAUCACCAGGGUUGGAAAACACUUCCAGUCCAACCAUCCACCCACCACCAAAUUCCCCACUAAACCACAUCCCUUGAUACAACAUCUAAGCAUUUCUUGAACAACUCCAGGGACCACUGUCCACCACCACCACCUGGGCAGCCCAUUCCAGUGCCUGACCACUCUCUCCGAGAAGAAGAUCCAACCUGAAAUUAGCUAAUUUUGCAUAGGAAAGAGGUUUUAAGGUCAUUUUGGGUAAUUAUGAAAAUAAAAAUGGAAUGGCUAGGCAGCAUGCAAAAGAGUAAUAAAACGUUAGGAACUACUGAGAAACCAGUGUACCUCUCCUUGAGAGUAUUAUUUGAAGAGAGCAGAAGAGCCCACAAUUAAUCUCAAGGGUAUAUUAGGGCUGGGGAGGGUGCUAGGAAGUGAGAAAUAGGUUAUGUAGAGUAGGAGGGAAACAGCAAAGCCUUUUUGUUUCAUGAGAAGUACAAAUGAGGAGGGUGUGGCAGAUGCAGAAUUUGGGGCGGUUGAGAGAAAAUGAAUAAUGGCAUUAAUACUGCAUCAGAACAAGGAGAUCCCACUGAUGCUCAGCCUGCCACGUGCUGAAAGAUGGUAAGAGGAGGACUCCACUGUGCGACUUCUGUACCCUGCUCUGUUAUGUCACCCCUUGUUGCUCUGGAUUGGCCUGGGGCUGCCCGCCAGCCUUGUGAAUUGCUGAUGUGCUCCUCUGCUGCACGGCCUUCAGGUGAGUUCUGAAGUAUGAACACAUUCCUGUAGCGCUGUAGGAUGGCAGUGGGUUCUCUGUGCCUUUAGGUAGUGCUGUAGUAAUCAUUAAUGAUGAUUAGCUGUUGAAUGACAUAGAUUAUAAGAACUGUGGGCAUUUUUUUUUAAUUUUUUUUUUAAUUUUUGUCCAGACUUUUCCCUAUAGAUCUUUGCUUGAUUCUGUGGGUGGUUUAUCAUUACAUGUAAGCAUUAAAAAUGCAUUGAGCCACCUUUUUAUUUAAUUUUAAUUUGCAUUAAAUGAAGAAGAUGACAAUCUCAAAUAUUAUAUCCUUACGUAUAUGCCCUAAGCUAACUUCAUACUAAAUAAUGAAUUAUUCAGUGGAUUCUGCAGAGCAGUAACACCUGUGCCCAAAAUCAGGGAAUCAUAUGGCAUCACAAUUACCUGCAGCAGCAAAACUGCUGUCUUUUAACUUCUGCUCUUCAGAUUCAUUUUUAUGCCCCAAUCAGUUUAAUUAAAGAAUUUUUCUGAUAGCAUCACCAGAUGGAGAAGACAAUGAGCUGUGUCAAUAACGCUGACAAAGGAUUACAUAAGGAGGAGCUGUUGCAAUUAAUAUAUUAAUAGAACUGUCAGCUUAUUUCUUUGUUUUGUUUUGUUUAGAGUUGUCUUGCUGAUUGUGAGGAAAAGGAGGGAAAACACCUCUUAAUAUACCCGAUGGCCUAAUGCAUGGAGCAGGGACUAAACCUGUGAAGUAGUCAAUAUAUUUGACUGGCACCUUUUGGUUAUGGCUCAUCUCCAAGAAAUUUUAGACUACCUUCAGCUUCUAUUUGUGGCUUUACUUGGAGCGGUGGCUUUUCUAUUGCCCGGUGCUUUGUUCACCCCAUCCAUGGCUCAUUUAAAUAAUACUGCCCUAUUAGGACAGUAGUGUCCGGAUCCUCUUGGCUGGUGAUGUUUCUCAUGCUUUAGAAAGCACAGGGUUAAAAUUAAACCCACUGAAUUUCAUAGCAUGAUUUCUAUCCAAGCUACAGGAUUAAUCGUUGGAUUUCUGCUUCAGUUUGAAUUUACAAUUUUCUUUCUUACAAUACUGUAAUACUUGCUUACAGUUAAGCAUUUCUGUAAACACAUCUUGCAAAUGCAUUAAUCAUUUGCAAAGUACAAAAGGGCGAUGCAACUGAGCUGAGCUCUAACUUCUCUAUAGAUCCAACCUCCUCAGGGCUUUUGUAACUGUUGCCAUUGAAAAAAGGUAAAGAUGGCUGGAGAUGUGCCAUCUGGGAGCUCCUUGCUUCUCCUGCUUUGUCUGAGAUGGGUGAGGUAAAAAGAGGAAAAAUUGGGUUUGUCUUAAAGUGAAACGUGUUAACUGCUUGCAUUUUUAAAUACACACUUGAUAGUAUUACUGCAUGGCAGGUUUAGGUUUGCCACACUUUUACCUCCUGCUUCCCUCUGGGGUGCACAUUUAGCGUUGGGAAGAACCAACCAUAGCAAACUAUAGCUGAGCAGAAGUAGUACAUUAAGGAUGAUAUUUCUCCUCUGCUGUCCUUCCUACAGAACCACCCCUGAUUUUGGAAAAUGAACUUUCUCAAAUAACGAAAACAGCCGUUGAAAGGGAGACCAGGACACGUGAAAUAUGGCUGAAUGAGAAACUCAUCAUCGCAUGCUCUGAGCCAUCAGGAAGUGAACCUCAAAUUGGGAUCUGAGUGUCUUGGUUGGUACAAGGACCUGUGAAAAACUGUAUCUUGAAGAUGCAGAAAGGUCAGACUAUGGGUUUCCACUGCAGGACUAGCAACUAACUGGCAUUUGUGUGCUGGUGGUCCCUGCCCUGUGGACAUACAGUUAAAAAGCUCCAGAGGAGUUGUUGUUCCUUGUGCAAAGAGAAGACCUUUCCUUUGGCUCAGAGAUGGCAUCACUGCAUCAGUUGAGUGGUUACCUGGAUUGGAAGAUGGUAAAAAGCAAUUGCUGCUGGGCUUUUUUUGUACAGCAGAAAGAGGUCGCAAUCUUCCCUGUGGACUGUGGUGGUUAUUCCCCCAAACUUAUGCCUUUUGCCAGCUUGGUGAUAGAACUUCGGGGUUUCAGUGGAGCAGGUGUCAAAGCACACAGCCAAGGAAUGGAGCUGAAGGCAUAAUUCUUAGUCUGAGACCUUAAGUAUGGGCACAGUUGUAAUCUGAGAAAAUCAUGAAUGUCACCAAUGCAUUCUGGUAAAGUGAUAGCUAUAAAAUGAAAGAUUUAAAGGAAGCAAUCAUAAUGGUUAACAGCAGUAUGAAAAAGCUUAAACAUGUUCAUAAAUUUCAAUAACUGCUGAGCAAUAUACUGGAUUCAUCUAGGAGAGAUUUAAUUUGAAAAAUGCUAAAUAGGAGGAACAGACUGGAAACAGACAUUCCUCCUGAAGAUGAAGCCUUUUGGUGAGAAAUUUACAUUGCACUUCAGCUGAAGCGAUACUAAAUGUGAGUACAAUGUGUUAGAAAAGGAAUUAUAAAAUAAAUUGUGGAAGGAGGUUUUUAAAUUUGCACGUUAAGGAAAAAAAGCUUUAUUUUGUAUUCUCACUUCAGAUGAUGAUCGUGUCUUGAUGUAUAAGUGCCCAUGCAUGCUGAAAUAAAUGAAAAUAACAAAAAAAAAUGGUAUUAACUACAUAGAUUUUUAAUAGAAAAAGAAAAUGACUGAAGUCUUAUCACAGGGAAGUAUAAACAUAUAUGCUUGUGAGCAAGUAUCCAGAACAUACGCAUCGAUUUCAACAAUGCAUAAUAUAUAGAAUACAAAUGCUUUAGAUGAAUUUCAAAUUUGCUGUGUUUAAAAUUAAUUGUAUUCUGAGACGGAGCCUUUCAUUGCAGAUAGUUUUAGCAAGAUGCAUCAGUGCACUAAGAUUUUUUGAAAUGGUGAAUACCUUCUUUGUGUUGCUAAUUGCAGCUGUGCAGUCUGCAAAUGAAGGAUAUCCAGCAUCUUAUUUCCCAUUUCAAUCAUUUUAUUCCUGUUGAUAAACAACCCUUAUCUUCUUCCCACACACCAGAUAGAUUUUACAUUAUUUUAUAAAUGAGAUUUUUCCAUUGUGCUGCAACAUAUUCUUAGCAAGCUAGAGCUUUAUUAAAAAGAAAUGGAAACAUAGAAUUUGGAAACUUUAUUCUAAUUCAAGUGACUUAUUUUUCAAUGUUCUGAUUCUGCUUGCAAUAAUGAUUAAAUUAAUGGAGGUUGUGUGGUUUGAAGUGGCAAUACUAUUCAUUACCGUGCUCUGCUCUGAUUUAAACCCCGCUGCACUCUUACCUCAGCCAGAACCCCAGCCCACCUCAAAUGAGCACUGGAACAACCUCUGCUCUGAAUGCUCUGCUGUUGUUCUGAGCUGGGAGGCUUGAACUGAAGAAAAGCUGAGCACCAAGCGCUCAAGUUCAAAUUACUGCUUGGCAGGUAUGUGGAAAAGCCCCAGACUUGCUUUCCUGAUUUCACAGGUUAACACAGUGUGAUGGUGAGUACCUCUGGGCAAUCAGGUUGGUGUGGGUCGUUGUCCGUGAUGAAGCAGAUUUGUUCUUUAUGUAUCCAUCCCCCCUGUAAGAAGCAGUACAGCUCUACAGGUUGGUGUAAGAUCUGGGGUCACAAGUGUUAGCAUUGAAACACAAAAGGACCUUUCCUAAAGCAAAAAGCCCAUGUCUUCAUCACGUGCUCCCCUGUAGGAGGUAAGGGUGUGUGUCUAUUUUCUGAAUUUGUGCUGAAUUUCACUAGCCAUUCCCACUGACUGUCCAUCUCUCACUGAUGCUAAGGCAGUAUUUAUUUAAAAAGAAGAUAAAAGUAUGAACAAAAGUGUACACUUGCAGCAGAGAAACUGAGAGAAUAAAGUAAAGGGAAUUUUCUUUUCUGUGGUCCCCUAAGUGGUGAAUAUCAUGAGUUUUCCUCAACUGAAACAGGUUUUUAGUUCUCCAUAUAAGAUUGUUGAUGGAAGGUGAUAACAAAAACCUGUGUUGAGAUAGUUUGUAAAGAAGAAAUACAGCUGCUGGUGGAAGAGUAAUUAACCUAAUAAGGAACCUGAAACUAAUGUUUAAUUCUCAAGAUACAUUACAUUUUUGCAUUUCCAUUUGCUUUACAAACCACUCAAAAUACAAGGCAACUUCUUGAAAGUGAGCGUAAUGAUUUCCAAUAACAGAAUGAAGUAUUUUAGCUGACAAGUUCAGUGGCAUGGCUCUGUGAAU
Molecule: long non-coding RNA, 18369 nt
Organism: Gallus gallus (chicken)
Lineage: Eukaryota; Metazoa; Chordata; Aves; Galliformes; Phasianidae
Exons: 4
Source: RefSeq, a predicted model, not a curated record